Molecule: ribosomal RNA, 510 nt
Filed under: uncultured bacterium
Lineage: Bacteria
Description: partial 16S ribosomal RNA
Source: RNAcentral
GGAGUUAGCCGGUGCUUCUUCUGUGAGUGAUGUCCUUCCUGCCGGCUAUUAACCCGCAGGCCUUCUUCCUCACUGAAAGUGCUUUACAACCCGAAGGCCUUCUUCACACACGCGGCAUGGCUGGAUCAGGGUUGCCCCCAUUGUCCAAUAUUCCCCACUGCUGCCUCCCGUAGGAGUCUGGGCCGUGUCUCAGUCCCAGUGUGGCUGAUCAUCCUCUCAGACCAGCUACGGAUCGUCGCCUUGGUGAGCCGUUACCUCACCAACCAGCUAAUCCGACAUAGGCUCAUCCGAUAGCGCGAGGCCCGAAGGUCCCCCGGCUUUCCCCCGUAGGGCGUAUGCGGUAUUAGCCUGGGUUUCCCCCAGGUUAUCCCCCGACUACCGGGCAGAUUCCUAUGCAUUACUCACCCGUCCGCCGCUCGCCACCAGGGAGCAAGCUCCCCGUGCUGCCGCUCGACUUGCAUGUGUUAGGCCUGCCGCCAGCGUUCAAUCUGAGCCAGGAUCAAACUCUGA